CAGGUUAACAAGAACACCGGCCUCGGCCUGUCCUUGCUAAUCCUCGGGUCUUUUGUCAACUUGAGCGUCAACUUCUGCAGCCCAGCCGAGCGCUUGCUCCGUACAUGCGUCGAGUGUCUGAGACGCAUAUGAAUCCAGUCCACACCUACUUCUAUAUUCUACUACGAUUUUUUUAAAAGAAAAGAAGAUGUACUUCCUCUAGUGGUGACAAAUGGUGAUUUCCGAGAAAACAAAAGACGAAGGGAAGAUGGAAGUGGGAAUCAUGGGAGCCCAUAAGAGCAGGUUUAAUAACAGAGGCAAGUUCUUGGCUAUAAGACAAGCCACAGCAGCUCCUAACAGCCAAGCCAUACAGUGGUAAUCUUCCUGUUUAUCUCCACUUAAACGUAAAAGUAUUUUCUAUUCUUCAUGGAUCCCAGCUUCCCAUCUAUUUUUCAAUCAUCUCACGCCACCUCGUCUUGUGUAUGCACUUACCCCAUGCAAAGUUACUGCCAUGCUUUGAAGUCUAUGAGGAGCUUUGGAGUCUGUGAGGAGUUGAUCGAUGCAUGCAGCACCAAGCUCCCUUCUCUCUGAUCCCCUCUCCCAUCCAGCUCGACGACACAUUUAUUUACAUGGAAGUUUUAUGGUGUUCCAUCAAUAUUUGGAAUUAUUAGCUAGCCGGGCAUCUCACUAAGCCCAUGUGCAAUCAUAUGCUUGUGCGUCUGUACAAGAAAUACUAUAUGUUCAUGCUGAAUGAAUUGUAAGUUGCAUAGUGUGAAAGAAUAUUUAUAUUGCUAGUCUACUAUGCUGAAUGAAUUGUAAGUAUUUUUUAGCCCUACUCUACUAGCU
Molecule: long non-coding RNA, 825 nt
Filed under: Setaria italica (foxtail millet)
Lineage: Eukaryota; Viridiplantae; Streptophyta; Magnoliopsida; Poales; Poaceae
Description: long non-coding RNA (SITA_LNC003276)
Source: RNAcentral